This 460-nucleotide ribosomal RNA is filed under the name uncultured bacterium. RNAcentral describes it as "partial 16S ribosomal RNA". It matches the Rfam family "Bacterial small subunit ribosomal RNA", at positions 338 to 795 of the family's 1533-position model. The record is from RNAcentral.
CCUACGGGUGGCAGCAGUGAGGAAUAUUGGUCAAUGGACGCAAGUCUGAACCAGCCAUGCCGCGUGCAGGAAGACGGCUCUAUGAGUUGUAGACUGCUUUUGUACGAGGGUAAAUCCCGAUACGUGUAUCGGGUUGAAAGUAUCGUACGAAUAAGGAUCGGCUAACUCCGUGCCAGCAGCCGCGGUAAUACGGAGGAUUCAAGCGUUAUCCGGAUUUAUUGGGUUUAAAGGGUGCGUAGGCGGUCGGAUAAGUUAGAGGUGAAAUGCCGAGGCUCAACUUCGGAAUUGCCUCUGAUACUGGUCGGCUAGAGAGUAGUUGCGGUAGGCGGAAUGUAUGGUGUAGCGGUGAAAUGCUUAGAGAUCAUACAGAACACCGAUUGCGAAGGCAGCUUACUAGGCUAUUUCUGACGCUGAGGCACGAAAGCGAGGGGAGCAAACAGGAUUAGAUACCCGUGUAGUC